RNAcentral lists this ribosomal RNA (497 nucleotides) under uncultured bacterium. Its description in RNAcentral is "partial 16S ribosomal RNA". It matches the Rfam family "Bacterial small subunit ribosomal RNA", at positions 28 to 507 of the family's 1533-position model. The record is from RNAcentral.
GAUGAACGCUGGCGGCGUGCCUAAUACAUGCAAGUCGAGCGAACGGACGAGAAGCUUGCUUCUCUGAUGUUAGCGGCGGACGGGUGAGUAACACGUGGAUAACCUACCUAUAAGACUGGGAUAACUUCGGGAAACCGGAACUAAUACCGGAUGAUAUUUUGAACCGCAUGGUUCAAAAGUGAAAGACGGUCUUGCUGUCACUUAUAGAUGGAUCCGCGCUGCAUUAGCUAGUUGGUAAGGUAACGGCUUACCAAGGCAACGAUGCAUAGCCGACCUGAGAGGGUGAUCGGCCACACUGGAACUGAGACACGGUCCAGACUCCUACGGGAGGCAGCAGUAGGGAAUCUUCCGCAAUGGGCGAAAGCCUGACGGAGCAACGCCGCGUGAGUGAUGAAGGUCUUCGGAUCGUAAAACUCUGUUAUUAGGGAAGAACAUAUGUGUAAGUAACUGUGCACAUCUUGACGGUACCUAAUCAGAAAGUCACGGCUAACUACGUG